This is an RNA transcript of Sapajus apella (tufted capuchin), 1372 nucleotides long. It is a transcript of the gene named glutamine synthetase pseudogene, with no coding region annotated. Lineage: Eukaryota; Metazoa; Chordata; Mammalia; Primates; Cebidae. The transcript has a single exon. The record is from RefSeq and is a predicted model, not a curated record.
UAGAGUCAAGGGUGGGAGAAGAGCGGAGCAUGUGAGCAGCACAGCGGCCUUCUCUCCUCUCCUCACCUCGCUCUGGUGGCCUACCUUUACCUGUCCACCUGCUCAGUGCCCAGAACACCUUCCACCAUGACCACCUCAGCAAGUUCCCACUUAAACAAAGGCAUCAAGCAGGUGUACAUGGCCCCCUGCCUCAGGAUGAGAAAGUCCAGGUUAUGUAUUUCUGGAACAAUGGUUCUGGGGAAGGACUGCACUGCAAGACCCGGACCCUGGACAUGAGCCCAAGUGUGUGGAAGAGUGGCCUGAGUGGAAUUCUGAUACCUCUAGUACUUUACAGCCUGAAGGCUCCAACAGUGACAUGUAUCUCGUGCCUGCUGCCAUGUUUCGGGACCCCUUCCGUAAGGACCCUAACAAGUUGGUGUUGUGUGUGAAGUUUUCAAGUACGAUCGAAAGCCAGCAGAGACCAAUUUGAGGCACACCUGUAAACGGAUAAUGGACAUGGUGAGCAACCAGCACUCCUGGUUUGGCAUGGAACAGGAAUAUGCCCUCAUGGGAACAGACGGGCACUCCUUUGGUUGGCCUUCCAACCGCUUCCCAGGGCCCCAGCGUCCAUAUAACUGCGGUGUGGGAGCAGACAGAGCCUACGGCAGGAACAUCGUGGAGGCCCAUUACCGGGCCUGCUUGUAUGCUGGAGUCAAGAUACAAGCAGGGACGAAUACCAAGGUCAUGCCUGCCCAGUGGGAAUUUCCAAUUGGACCCUGUGAAGGAAUCAGCAUGGGAGAUCAUCUCUGGGUGGCCUGUUUCAUCUUGCAUCGUGUAUGUGAAGACUCUGGAGUGAUGGCAAUCUUUGAUCCUAAGCCCAUUCCCGGAAACUGGAAUGGUUCAGGCUGCCAUACUGACUUUAGCACCAAGGCCAUGUGGGAGGAGAAUGGUCUGAAGUACAUUGAGGAGGCCAUCGAGAAACUAAGCAAGCAGCACCAGUACCACAGCCACACCUAUGGUCCCAAGGGAGGCCUGGACAAUGCCUGAAGCCUAACUAGAUCCCAUCAAACCUCCAACAUCAGUGACUUUUCUGCUGGUGUAGCCAAUCGUAGCACCAGCAUACGCAUUCCUCAGACUGUAGGGCAGGAGAAGAAGGGUCACUUUGAAGACUGUCGCCCCUCUGCCAACUGCAUUCCCUUUUCUGAAUUCAGAAGCCCUCAUCUGAAUGUGUCUUCUCAAUGAAACCAGCAAUGAGCCCUUCCAGUACAAAAACUAAGUGAACUGGACCUCCCGCUGUGAGCCCCUCCUGCUUCUUUAUCCCACUCCAACUCUUCCCCCUCUACCGGUUGUCCCAAUUGUAACUGGAAGGGUGGAAUAUCAAGGUUUUUUUUUU